This is a long non-coding RNA of Anneissia japonica, 927 nucleotides long. RefSeq lists it as uncharacterized. Lineage: Eukaryota; Metazoa; Echinodermata; Crinoidea; Comatulida; Comatulidae. The record is from RefSeq and is a predicted model, not a curated record. The transcript is spliced from 5 exons.
CUUUGUGUUUGUUGCCAGCUGCAGGAAAAGCGUGUGUGUAUCAUGGGUGUUUGAAGGCCUGAAUUUUCGUUAUUUCAAGGGCUUCUACUGUGUUAGUAUGGAAAAAGGAUGAUGAUCAUGACGCUGAUAACAGGACGACGGAUCCUUUCAUAGGAAGGAUACAAAGGCAUAGUGUAGAAGAGUGUUGUCUUUGGCUUUCAGGUGACUGAGUCUACCCUGACAUUGUUUUUGCCUUUGAACAAACUCUGCCUUGGCUGGAGUAAAAAAAAGCAGUCUAGAAAAUAUGAAUACUGCCCUCUGUUGAUGAGUAAGAUCAGUUUGCUAAUGAUGAGUAAAAUUAUUGGACCUCCUUGGAGCUGCUGAAUUUUUGUCCUAGAAAGCAUUGGUUGUCCUUGUUUAUCGUUUGGAAUUAAAGUGUAAUUUGUGCAAUGUGAUAUUGGGAGGUUUCGCACAUGAACGCGUACGGUUAGUGUGACGGAUACGUCAUCAUUUUGACGUCAUACACCACCAGCCAGCCACUAAACGUGUGGAUGACACGCAUAUCUCGCUCUCUACACGUAAGUGAAAAAUGCGUAGGGAAAUUAUUGAUUUCUAGUAAGAUCUUCAUUUAUUUUUUCACAUUUUACGUAAGUGUAAAAAAUAAAUGCAUCUUUGAAUACGUACUGUACGUGCCAUUUUUGUGACAUUUGAAGACAGAAAAUUAUGAUAGGAUGCGUCUCAUUUUGGGGUAUCAAAACAUUGGUGCUUUGACCUUGGUGGUGUCGGGAUUUUGUGCAGGCCUAGGCCUACUUAUAGCCAGGCAUUUUUGGGUCAUAAACAAUAAUAACCAACAUUUUUGGACAACAAAGGAAGUAUUUUUCGGCUACAAUUUUCAAUUUCAAUUUCCAACAAAACCUUAUAUACUAAUGAAACUUUGAGAAGCAUGAU